RNAcentral lists this ribosomal RNA (586 nucleotides) under uncultured bacterium. RNAcentral describes it as "partial 16S ribosomal RNA". It matches the Rfam family "Bacterial small subunit ribosomal RNA", at positions 355 to 1375 of the family's 1533-position model. The record is from RNAcentral.
UGGGGAAUUUUGGACAAUGGGCGAAAGCCUGAUCCAGCAAUGCCGCGUGUGUGAAGAAGGCCUUCGGGUUGUAAAGCACUUUUGUCCGGAAAGAAAUCCUUGGCUCUAAUACAGUCGGGGGAUGACGGUACCGGAAGAAUAAGCACCGGCUAACUACGUGCCAGCAGCCGCGGUAAUACGUAGGGUGCAAGCGUUAAUCGGAAUUACUGGGCGUAAAGCGUGCGCAGGCGGUUUGCUAAGACCGAUGUGAAAUCCCCGGGCUCAACCUGGGAACUGCAUUGGUGACUGGCAGGCUAGAGUAUGGCAGAGGGGGGUAGAAUUCCACGUGUAGCAGUGAAAUGCGUAGAGAUGUGGAGGAAUACCGAUGGCGAAGGCAGCCCCCUGGGCCAAAUACUGACGCUCAUGCACGAAAGCGUGGGGAGCAAACAGGAUUAGAUACCCUGGUAGUCCACGCCCUAAACGAUGUCAACUAGUUGUUGGGGAUUCAUUUCCUUAGUAACGUAGCUAACGCGUGAAGUUGACCGCCUGGGGAAUACGGUCGCAAGAUUAAAACUCAAAGGAAUUGACGGGGUCAUAGCUGUUUCCU